This 494-nucleotide ribosomal RNA is filed under the name uncultured bacterium. Its description in RNAcentral is "partial 16S ribosomal RNA". It matches the Rfam family "Bacterial small subunit ribosomal RNA", at positions 28 to 507 of the family's 1533-position model. The record is from RNAcentral.
GACGAACGCUGGCGGCGCGCUUAACACAUGCAAGUCGAACGGAAAGGCCUGCUUUCCCUUGUGGAUUGCGGGUACUCGAGUGGCGAACGGGUGAGUAACACGUGAGUGAUCUGCCCCCAACUUGGGUAUAAGCCUGGGAAACUGGGUCUAAUUCCCGAUAGGACUGCAGGGUGGUGCCUGUGGUGGAAAACGAUUUUCUAGUGGUUGGGGAUGAGCUCGCGGCCUAUCAGCUUGUUGGUGGGGUAAUGGCCUACCAAGGCGACGACGGGUAGCCGGCCUGAGAGGGUGGACGGCCACAUUGGGACUGAGAUACGGCCCAGACUCCUACGGGAGGCAGCAGUGGGGAAUAUUGCACAAUGGGCGGAAGCCUGAUGCAGCGACGCCGCGUGGGGGAUGACGGCCUUCGGGUUGUAAACUCCUUUCGACCGCGAGGAAGCCACCUGGUUGGAAGGGUGGUGACGGUAGUGGUAGAAGAAGCACCGGCUAACUACGUG